RNAcentral lists this ribosomal RNA (1510 nucleotides) under metagenome. RNAcentral's name for it is "bacterial SSU rRNA". It matches the Rfam family "Bacterial small subunit ribosomal RNA". The record is from RNAcentral.
CGAGUUUGAUCCUGGCUCAGAUCGAACGCUGGCGGCGUGGCUAAAGCAUGCAAGUCGUACGCGAAAGUUCCCUUCGGGGAGCAAGUAGAGUGGCGAAAGGGCGAGUAAUACAUGGGUAACGUACCUCGGGCUUAGGGAUAGCUGCGGGAAACUGCAGGUAAUACCCAAUGAUACCAUCGUUUCACAAGUUAUGAUGGUCAAAGGUGGGGAUCUUCGGACCUACCGGCCUGAGAGCGGCCCAUGUCCUAUCAGCUAGUUGGUGAGGUAACGGCCCACCAAGGCAACGACGGGUACCGGGACUGAGAGGUUGACCCGGCGCAUUGGGACUGAGAUACUGCCCAGACUCCUACGGGAGGCUGCAGCAACGAAUAUUCCGCAAUGGACGAAAGUCUGACGGAGCGACGCCGCGUGCGGGAAUAAGCCCUUCGGGGUGUAAACCGCUGUCAGGGAUCACCAAGCAAAAAGGGCGAAUAGUCCUUUACGUUGAGGAAUCCCAAAGGAAGCCACGGCUAACUUCGUGCCAGCAGUCGCGGUAAUACGAAGGUGGCUAGCGUUGUUCGGAAUCACUGGGCUUAAAGAGCACGUAGGCGGCUUGCCAAGCGUCCUGUGAAAUCCCUCGGCUCAACCGAGGAAUUGCUGGGCGAACUGGUAGGCUUGAGGUAGGUAGGGGCGCAUGGAACUCUUGGUGGAGCGGUGGAAUGCGUAGAUAUCAAGAGGAACGCCGGUGGCGAAGGCGAUGCGCUGGGCCUAUCCUGACGCUGAGGUGCGAAAGCCAGGGGAGCGAACGGGAUUAGAUACCCCGGUAGUCCUGGCCCUAAACGAUGUCCACUAGGUCGAAGGUUCUCUGACGGAGUUUCGGCCGAAACAAAAGCGUUAAGUGGACCGCCUGGGGAGUACGGUCGCAAGGCUAAAACUCAAAGGAAUUGACGGGGGCUCACACAAGCGGUGGAGCAUGUUGCUUAAUUCGAUUCAACGCGAAGAACCUUAUCCUGGGCUUGACAUGCAGGAAUACCUCCCUCGAAACAGGGUUGGUUGCCCUUCAGGGUGAAAUCUGCACAGGUGCUGCAUGGCUGUCGUCAGCUCGUGUCGUGAGAUGUUGGGUUAAGUCCCGUAACGAGCGAAACCCUUAUCGUUAGUUGCCAGCGCGUAAUGGCGGGGACUCUAGCGAGACUGCCGGUGUUAAACCGGAGGAAGGUGGGGAUGACGUCAAGUCCUCAUGGCCUUUAUGCCCAGGGCUGCAAACGUGCUACAAUGGCUGGUACAAACCGACGCAAAACCGCGAGGUCGAGCAAAUCGGAAAGAGCCAGCCCCAGUUCGGAUUGGAGUCUGCAACUCGACUCCAUGAAGUCGGAAUCGCUAGUAAUCGCGUAUCAGCAUGACGCGGUGAAUGUGUUCCUGAGCCUUGUACACACCGCCCGUCAAGUCAUGGAAGCUGGGAGCACCCGAAGUCGCUCCGAUUCAGGAGUGCCGAAGGUGAGUUCGGUGACUGGGACUAAGUCGUAACAAGGUA